AGACAUAAAAUUUCCAAAGGAAUUUUUGUAUGUUUAAAGUAGACUCACAGUAUCCUGGAGAGUUGGGCUAAGAUUCCCGUUUGUUCUUACCAGAGUGUCAACAUCAAGGUAGCUGAGCUCCCAGAGGAAGAUCACUCUGUCUGUUUCAAGGCCUUAUCAAUGGGAUGUAGGCAGUAAGGAAAUUUAAUUGUUCAUUUGCCUUUGUUUCCCACAUCAAUCUCCCUUGGCUUUUCUCUUCAUCAAGGAACCUCUAGACCCCGCCUGCAAGUGUGGCCUUAUCCCUGAUCUCUGACCAAUCCUGGGAUUCAUUAGCAGAAAGUGAAAGUAGAACACCCAGGGCCAGCCCUGUGAUCCACAGCUUUGGGUCAGACCUGCUGCCAGCUGGGCUUAGAGCUUAUGCAAUAGACAGGAGCACUUCUGAGUUUUGGUGGGCCCAAAGCAUAUACAAUUUUAAGGGCAUAUUUAAGAAAAAAGAUACAAAUUUAUGAGUACAAAAUUAGGUAUAAAGUCUUAGAAGGGGCCAUCCAAGAGGAGUCUUAAAACCUAACCUUUAUUUACUUCACACUAACUCUGCCUCUUUUCCUAAAUUUGAAUCUUGAUGAGAAAAACUACUCUAGCUAGAUCUGUUUCUUUCACACAAGGUUCUCCAAGAAGAGAGACCAUGGAGCCAGGAAGAGGAGGCCCACAAAUCAAUGAGAGACACUGAAGAAAUGACUAAAGAUCUGGCUUCAAAACAGGAUGAAUGACUGCCCAAUGCUGACCCCUUCCUCAGCCGCCACAGCCCUGGCCAAGAGGGAGGCCUCUGGCAUCUGCACAGUAGCCACCUCCUGUUAAGGUGGUGCCCGCUGGGGAAAACAGAAUGAAGCCUACCUGGUCGUCAGCUCCAAAGGAGAAGGUCCAGCAAACCUGUGUGAGAAACAUCAAGCUGCAGGAUUUCUCAGGUUAGCAAAAUAAUAAAGGCUCUAUGCUUGAAGGCGAUCUAUAAAUAAAGUACCUCCCGUGAAGACCAAAUCUUGAAGCUAUGAUCUUUGAAGAGAAAGUCAAUAUCUGCACACAGAUCCAUACCUGUGUGACGAAAUUACUUGCACCAUAAAGAUGAGACCGAUAUGGAGGCCAUUCUCCAUCCACACUGGUUAAAGUGGAUCCAACAGCUUAUUAAUGAGAGAGAACAUGAGAUUGAUACUGGAAUCCUCUGUAUUCCUUUUAUGAUAUAGUAGGGUGUAGAUUGCCAUUCUCAAGAAUAUCCUUUGU
Molecule: long non-coding RNA, 1251 nt
Organism: Lynx canadensis (Canada lynx)
Lineage: Eukaryota; Metazoa; Chordata; Mammalia; Carnivora; Felidae
Exons: 3
Source: RefSeq, a predicted model, not a curated record